RNAcentral lists this long non-coding RNA (618 nucleotides) under Anser brachyrhynchus (Pink-footed goose). Its description in RNAcentral is "lncRNA (ENSABRG00000002707.1)". Lineage: Eukaryota; Metazoa; Chordata; Aves; Anseriformes; Anatidae. The record is from RNAcentral.
CUGGAUCCAGAUGUUCCAGCUGUGGAAGCCCCCUAAGCCCUCAGCUGCAAGAAGUGAUACAGGAAGGACACUUAAGGUCUUCAGCUGAAACCUAGCCUUCAGGAAACAGCUACCUGCUCUCUUUCCUCACCUCUGCCACAAAUAUGGAAGAGGUUUUGUUGAUUGUAACUGUGUGAAGCUUUUGGGACCUGACAUUAAGGAAGUACAUCAGGAAGGCCACGAAAGAAGUCAGCUCUGCAGACUGUUCAGACCAAGCAAGACCCGAAAGCGCUGAUGCCAGAACACUGAUGUUUGCAGCCAGUAAUUUGGUCAACAGGGGACCUACAACUGGUAUCAGUGAGACACCAGGAGCACAACAUAAUAAUCAUGAUCUUCAGAGAACUAAAAGACUGCUACACAAAACAACAUUUAAGAACAGGCAAAUUCAAAACCUGGUGCUACCUACCAAGAAUGAAAGGUACACAGAAGAGAAAAACUUUAAAACAGAAGCACUGGAAGACCCAGAGAAGAAUGGCACAUGAGAUGGCUAAAUUUUAAACAAAACAUGGGCCAGCCUUCUCCUUUUCAGCCCUUUCUUCAUGCAGCAGAAAGUGGCUGGAAGAAAACCUGAAAGCCUGG